UUCGAUGGAUAGGGGUUCUGAGAGGAAGGUCCCCCACAUUGGAACUGAGACACGGUCCAAACUCCUACGGGAGGCAGCAGUGAGGAAUAUUGGUCAAUGGGCGCAGGCCUGAACCAGCCAAGUAGCGUGAAGGAUGACUGCCCUAUGGGUUGUAAACUUCUUUUAUAUGGGAAUAAAGUUUUCCACGUGUGGAAUUUUGUAUGUACCAUAUGAAUAAGGAUCGGCUAACUCCGUGCCAGCAGCCGCGGUAAUACGGAGGAUCCGAGCGUUAUCCGGAUUUAUUGGGUUUAAAGGGAGCGUAGGUGGACAGUUAAGUCAGUUGUGAAAGUUUGCGGCUCAACCGUAAAAUUGCAGUUGAUACUGGCUGUCUUGAGUACAGUAGAGGUGGGCGGAAUUCGUGGUGUAGCGGUGAAAUGCUUAGAUAUCACGAAGAACUCCGAUUGCGAAGGCAGCUCACUGGACUGCAACUGACACUGAUGCUCGAAAGUGUGGGUAUCAAACAGGAUUAGAUACCCUGGUAGUCCACACAGUAAACGAUGAAUACUCGCUGUUUGCGAUAUACAGUAAGCGGCCAAGCGAAAGCAUUAAGUAUUCCACCUGGGGAGUACGCCGGCAACGGUGAAACUCAAAGGAAUUGACGGGGGCCCGCACAAGCGGAGGAACAUGUGGUUUAAUUCGAUGAUACGCGAGGAACCUUACCCGGGCUUAAAUUGCAUUUGAAUAUAUUGGAAACAGNAUAGCCGNAAGGCAAAUGUGAAGGUGCUGCAUGGUUGUCGUCAGCUCGUGCCGUGAGGUGUCGGCUUAAGUGCCAUAACGAGCGCAACCCUUAUCUUUAGUACUAACAGUCA
This 848-nucleotide ribosomal RNA is filed under the name Bacteroides sp. QQW-2006. Its description in RNAcentral is "bacterial SSU rRNA". It matches the Rfam family "Bacterial small subunit ribosomal RNA", at positions 275 to 1127 of the family's 1533-position model. Lineage: Bacteria; Pseudomonadati; Bacteroidota; Bacteroidia; Bacteroidales; Bacteroidaceae. The record is from RNAcentral.